Molecule: ribosomal RNA, 267 nt
Filed under: uncultured Staphylococcus sp.
Lineage: Bacteria; Bacillati; Bacillota; Bacilli; Caryophanales; Staphylococcaceae
Description: partial 16S ribosomal RNA
Rfam family: Bacterial small subunit ribosomal RNA
Source: RNAcentral
CGGCGGACGGGUGAGUAACACGUGGGUAACCUACCUAUAAGACUGGGACAACUUCGGGAAACCGGAGCUAAUACCGGAUAAGAUAUCGAACCGCAUGGUUCGAUAGUGAAAGAUGGUUUUGCUAUCACUUAUAGAUGGACCCGCGCCGUAUUAGCUAGUUGGUGAGGUAACGGCUCACCAAGGCAACGAUACGUAGCCGACCUGAGAGGGUGAUCGGCCACACUGGAACUGAGACACGGUCCAGACUCCUACGGGAGGCAGCAGUCG